AGUGAACGCUGGCGGUAGGCCUAACACAUGCCAGUCGAACGGCAGCACAGUAAGAGCUUGCUCUUACGGGUGGCGAGUGGCGGACGGGUGAGGAAUACCUCGGAAUCUACUUUUUCGUGGGGGAUAACGUAGGGAAACUUACGCUAAUACCGCAUACGACCUACGGGUGAAAGCAGGGGAUCUUCCGACCUUGCGCGAUUGUAUGAGCCGAUGUCGGAUUAGCUAGUUGGCGGGGUAAAGGCCCACCAAGGCGACGACCCGUAGCUGGUCUGAGAGGAUGAUCAGCCACACUGGAACUGAGACACGGUCCAGACUCCUACGGGAGGCAGCAGUGGGGAAUAUUGGACAAUGGGCGCAAGCCUGAUCCAGCCAUACCGCGUGGGUGAAGAAGGCAUUCGGGUUGUAAAGCCCUUUUGUUGGGAAAGAAAAGCAGCAGGUUAAUACCCCGCUGUUCUGACGGUACCAAAAGAAUAAGCACCGGCUAACUUCGUG
RNAcentral lists this ribosomal RNA (492 nucleotides) under uncultured bacterium. RNAcentral describes it as "partial 16S ribosomal RNA". It matches the Rfam family "Bacterial small subunit ribosomal RNA", at positions 29 to 507 of the family's 1533-position model. The record is from RNAcentral.